This 327-nucleotide unclassified non-coding RNA is filed under the name plant metagenome. RNAcentral describes it as "partial contains 5.8S ribosomal RNA, internal transcribed spacer 2, and large subunit ribosomal RNA". The stretch from base 1 to 105 matches the Rfam family "5.8S ribosomal RNA", at positions 50 to 154 of the family's 154-position model. The record is from RNAcentral.
GAAAUGCGAUAAGUAAUGUGAAUUGCAGAAUUCCGUGAAUCAUCGAAUCUUUGAACGCACAUUGCGCCCUCUGGUAUUCCGGGGGGCAUGCCUGUCCGAGCGUCAUUGCGAACCACAAGCACGGCUUGUGUGAUGGGCCCUCCCGCGUCUUGGUCGUCAAGACGGGCCCGAAAUGCAGUGGCGGCUUCGCGGUUAUCCGAUCAGCCAGAGCGUAUGGGGACUCUCUCUCUUGUCACACGCCCGCGGCGCGGACCGACGCCUGUCGACCUUUAUUCAUCUUCUCUCGGUUGACCUCGGAUCAGGUAGGGAUACCCGCUGAACUUAAGC